CCAUUGGCGGCGGCAUCCAGAGAGAACCCAAAAUGCAUUCACGAUCCUUUAAAUCGCCCAAAUCUGCUGCGGCCACUUCAUUUAUCAGUUCGCCGCCGUCGCCCGAAUCAAUCGGAAGCUGAAUCGCCGCGCCUGAUCUCUGAAUAGCUGUUCGAAUGAAAUGCUUGUGCGUGCUUGGUGCGGUGGUGAUGCGAGGGUUUCUGCUCUGUGAGGAUUUGGGGUAUUGCAGCUUGCUGGCUUCUCUGCUUUCACCUCCUUGGAUCGGUAUAGGCAAGGUGUCCUUGUACGACUGAUGACGGUAUCGCAACUUGAGACCAUAACAUAUGUAUAAGGUAGUCGCAUUUAUUUUUCUUAGACUUAGGCUAGAAUAGUGUCCAUGGUUGUAUUUUAAGAUGAAGGUUAUGAUGUUUUACGAAAGUUUAAAUUAAGCAUUUUCGCAUUCAA
Cucurbita moschata (crookneck pumpkin) is the source of this 444-nucleotide long non-coding RNA. RefSeq lists it as uncharacterized. The transcript has 2 exons. NCBI's taxonomy places the organism in Eukaryota, Viridiplantae, Streptophyta, Magnoliopsida, Cucurbitales, Cucurbitaceae. The record is from RefSeq and is a predicted model, not a curated record.